RNAcentral lists this microRNA (24 nucleotides) under Sorghum bicolor (sorghum). RNAcentral describes it as "sbi-miR6217a-3p". Lineage: Eukaryota; Viridiplantae; Streptophyta; Magnoliopsida; Poales; Poaceae. The record is from miRBase by way of RNAcentral.
AAAAUUAUCGUAAAUAGAGGUGGC